AGGGAAUGCGUGUCAUGUGCCCGGAGGCGCAACAUAAUCACAGUCUGCCCGAGAGUCACCGGCCGCCGCCGGCGCAGUCAUCCAACCUAUUGACUCAUUACCACUGCCAGUUGUCCAACAACGAUACAUAUAAGGUAAAUCAACUGCACAAUACAAACUGCGCAACAAUAAAGAGACGAUAAAAGGUAAUCUCGCCCGGACAGUUCCCAUCUAAUCGCCGCAGACACAGACGUUUUGAUAUAUUUAAAAAUCACUUCAAUCAACCCGCGGCCCUGCUCGCUGUUGAUAGCAAAUUUUUAUCACAUGCUCCUAGCGAAUUUCCAACAGCUCUCAGUUUUCAACUGAACGCUCGCAUGAACAUAAAUUUUUCGACACCGUAUUGCUAAAUCGAGAGACACAUGGUAGAGUUUCUGCCAUAUACACCUCUAUGCCGAUUCAAAGAGGGCAUGUUUUAAGUACUUUUUCUCUGAAUAAAUAUGUAUUUCAAAGUUCGUCCAAGUACAGAACUUAUGAAGGAGCGGUGUUGUAACUCACGAGGAAAUAACAAAGACAGAAAUAGCAUUCCGUAUCUUAUUUGCGGUAAACGACUCAGUAUCUUAUUCUCUACAAUAUUAAUAUAUAUUUGGACACAACAAACGCUUCCCAGUUUUUGGACUGUUUUAUAUUUUGACUGAUAAUGUUGUUAUAACGAUCAUCUCCUUCAAACGAUAUAUUUUUUUCCUGUUAUCAUAUAUUGCAAGCGACGUUUAAUCAUUAAGUAGUGUCAUUAUUAC
Molecule: long non-coding RNA, 773 nt
Organism: Danaus plexippus (monarch butterfly)
Lineage: Eukaryota; Metazoa; Arthropoda; Insecta; Lepidoptera; Nymphalidae
Exons: 4
Source: RefSeq, a predicted model, not a curated record